UCCCUGGUGGUCUAGUGGUUAAGAUUUGGUGCUCUCACCUCUGUUGCCCAGGUUCUAUUCCCAGUUAGGGAA
This is a non-coding RNA of Crenichthys baileyi (White River springfish), 72 nucleotides long. The record is from the annotation of a GenBank genome assembly. NCBI's taxonomy places the organism in Eukaryota, Metazoa, Chordata, Actinopteri, Cyprinodontiformes, Goodeidae.